Molecule: ribosomal RNA, 492 nt
Filed under: uncultured bacterium
Lineage: Bacteria
Description: partial 16S ribosomal RNA
Rfam family: Bacterial small subunit ribosomal RNA
Source: RNAcentral
AGUGAACGCUGGCGGUAGGCCUAACACAUGCAAGUCGAACGGCAGCACAGUAAGAGCUUGCUCUUGCGGGUGGCGAGUGGCGGACGGGUGAGGAAUACAUCGGAAUCUACUUUUUCGUGGGGGAUAACGUAGGGAAACUUACGCUAAUACCGCAUACGACCUACGGGUGAAAGCAGGGGAUCUUCGGACCUUGCGCGAUUGAAUGAGCCGAUGUCGGAUUAGCUAGUUGGCGGGGUAAAGGCCCACCAAGGCGACGAUCCGUAGCGGGUCUGAGAGGAUGAUCAGCCACACUGGAACUGAGACACGGUCCAGACUCCUACGGGAGGCAGCAGUGGGGAAUAUUGGACAAUGGGCGCAAGCCUGAUCCAGCCAUACCGCGUGGGUGAAGAAGGCCUUCGGGUUGUAAAGCCCUUUUGUUGGGAAAGAAAAGCAGCAGGUUAAUACCCCGCUGUUCUGACGGUACCCAAAGAAUAAGCACCGGCUAACUUCGUG